Long non-coding RNA from Sinocyclocheilus grahami, 423 nucleotides. RefSeq lists it as uncharacterized. The record is from RefSeq and is a predicted model, not a curated record. The transcript has 3 exons. NCBI's taxonomy places the organism in Eukaryota, Metazoa, Chordata, Actinopteri, Cypriniformes, Cyprinidae.
UAUAGUAAUAACAAUAAUGAUAAUAAAUUUCGAAUGUGACUAAAGUGUCUAAAUAUAGCUACAAAGAACAGUACAUUUUCUCUUUCUCACACUCGUGAUUUAGCUACAGGUUUUAAAGGCGAAAUAGCACAAACUUCCUUCUAACAGCCGAGGUUGAUAUAGCGAUAAGGACCUUUAAACAGGCGUGCUGUGGCAGGUGUUCAGUCUGGACGUGCUCCUCUAAAGCGCAGUGUUGGACUAGAGAAGAUGAGCUGAUAUUGAGGUGUUCGCUCACUACCGUGAUUGAUUUAUGGAUGGGUUGAAUCUCAUGACCACAACAAUGUCUACCAGUAAAUCUGCCGCCAGAAGGGCAAUUCUACAGACCUCCAGGACUAGGUGGAACAGGACGGAUAACUUUGAUAUUGUUCCUAUUAUCAGUUCGGA